Molecule: unclassified non-coding RNA, 261 nt
Filed under: Glomeromycotina sp.
Lineage: Eukaryota; Fungi; Glomeromycota
Description: partial contains 5.8S ribosomal RNA and internal transcribed spacer 2
Rfam family: 5.8S ribosomal RNA (bases 1-71)
Source: RNAcentral
GUGAAUCAUCGAAUCUUUGAACGCACCCUGCACUCUCUGGUAUUCCGGAGAGCAUGCCUGUUUGAGGGUCAGUUUAUAUACAAAUCGGUGUGGUUUCUGCCUUUCCUUGUGACGUGCAGGUUUUGGGUUGUCCUGCCUGCGGUUAAGUGACUUACACUUUUGCAUGGUUUUUUCGAACGUAUUUAGCUGCCUUUACGUACGUUUGCGAUAUCUAAUCCUAGGAUUGGUCAUCCUCAUGAUUCUCGCCUUUAAUUUUUCAUC